AUUGAACGCUGGCGGCAGGCCUAACACAUGCAAGUCGAGCGGAUGAAGGGAGCUUGCUCCUGGAUUCAGCGGCGGACGGGUGAGUAAUGCCUAGGAAUCUGCCUGGUAGUGGGGGAUAACGUCCGGAAACGGGCGCUAAUACCGCAUACGUCCUGAGGGAGAAAGUGGGGGAUCUUCGGACCUCACGCUAUCAGAUGAGCCUAGGUCGGAUUAGCUAGUUGGUGGGGUAAAGGCCUACCAAGGCGACGAUCCGGAACUGGUCUGAGAGGAUGAUCAGUCACACUGGAACUGAGACACGGUCCAGACUCCUACGGGAGGCAGCAGUGGGGAAUAUUGGACAAAGGGCGAAAGCCUGAUCCAGCCAUGCCGCGUGUGUGAAGAAGGUCUUCGGAUUGUAAAGCACUUUAAGUUGGGAGGAAGGGCAGUAAGUUAAUACCUUGCUGUUUUGACGUUACCAACAGAAUAAGCACCGGCUAACUUCGUG
This 484-nucleotide ribosomal RNA is filed under the name uncultured bacterium. Its description in RNAcentral is "partial 16S ribosomal RNA". It matches the Rfam family "Bacterial small subunit ribosomal RNA", at positions 30 to 507 of the family's 1533-position model. The record is from RNAcentral.